UGAAGAUAAACCCCUUGGGCUCUCUACCAUCAGUCCAGUGGAGGGCGAUACGACGGUUACUGUCACAUUUACAGCUUCUGAAGCUACAGAUGAGAAAGAGAAUCCAGACAGAACGGAAGAAAACACAAUGGUACCAUCCCGUGAUUAUGUGCCAGAGACCACAGAGACUCCUGCUGACCAAGAUGUUGAUUUACAGGAGGAAGUUCCAGAUGGAAAUAACAUAAGCCAUGGUCUUCCUGCUCCAAGAGGUCGGAUGGGACCAAAAGAAACUGAAUCGGAUGCCAUACCAACCCCAGCAGCUCAAGAGCAGAAUGGCACACCUGCUUGGCUGAUAAUCUUCUCAUUUGUCUUGGUUGUCGGUGCCUUGCUCUGUGUAUUUGCAGCUGUUGCCACCAAGGAAAGGUGGUAUGGACCAAGCCGUCAGACAUCCGCCACAACCAAGGACAGCGGUGACGAUAGUGAGAAAAAAGCAUCAGUGUCACUGACUGUGGAGAACCAAAACGAAAUGGUGACGCUCAUGAACAAGGGUCAAGUCCAGACAAACGGCAGGACGGAUGAGUUCACUGUUAUUGCUUUGGAGGAGUCCCCAGAGAAAGAGUUCUUGGCAUGAGGGGGGAGCCACAGAGGCCGAGUUUAGUUCUUCUCUUUGAUGAAGCUGUAAUAAUGGUGCCCCCCCACCCCCACCCCCACCCCCACCCCAACCCCAACCCCC
Long non-coding RNA from Clupea harengus (Atlantic herring), 712 nucleotides. The record is from Ensembl. NCBI's taxonomy places the organism in Eukaryota, Metazoa, Chordata, Actinopteri, Clupeiformes, Clupeidae.